CCAAAAACCAUCAUCAGCUGGUUGCUGUUUACUGAUCCUAUUAUAGCUUGUGUCUCUUGUGAAUAGAACCUUUCUUGGAAUCCAAAUUUAAGACCACUGGCCCAAAACGCCUGUCCGGACACAUAUGAAUUGGGACACAUUUUUGCGCAAUUUGAAACGUGCUGCACAAGUACGCAAUCUUUUGGGCACCAUUUUUAGGGAUCAAAUACCUUAUAUAUUUGAUAGGGUUGAAGAAAGGGGAAGGAAAGGUAUUAGAGGGAGAAGUUGUGUUACCUGAGGCAGGAGAGGAGCAAUGUACCGUAUGUUAAAAUAACAUGGUUUUCUAUCCUUAAA
Hyla sarda is the source of this 333-nucleotide long non-coding RNA. RefSeq lists it as uncharacterized. The record is from RefSeq and is a predicted model, not a curated record. NCBI's taxonomy places the organism in Eukaryota, Metazoa, Chordata, Amphibia, Anura, Hylidae. The transcript is spliced from 3 exons.